This is a non-coding RNA of Stegodyphus dumicola, 73 nucleotides long. The record is from the annotation of a RefSeq genome assembly. NCBI's taxonomy places the organism in Eukaryota, Metazoa, Arthropoda, Arachnida, Araneae, Eresidae.
GCCUUCGUGGUGUAGUGGUCAGCACUCUCGGCGUAUGUUCGAGAGGUCCAUGGUUCGAAUCCCUGCGGAGGCA